AAAAAAAAAAUACAACUGUUUUCUAUACCCGGGUGCAGUGUGCAAUUCAGCAAAACGCACGCGUCUCUGGGUGGCAGCAUAAAACACACCAGUCAUUUUCCCGAAGGGUCCUUAGCAUGGUGCACUUACCUGGGUUUCUGCCUGCUCACGUAUGUCAGGUUAAAGUUUGAAUUACUUUGCCUUUCACGUUUGCUGUCUUGGUUAGCUUACUGGGCCUUUGUGUGGGUCCUGCACGACAUGGAGAAGAGCAGACACUGUUAAUUUUAAUGUUUUUUUUUUAAUAGGUCAUGUCAAAAGAAGUCAAUUAUUAAGCCCAUUUUAUAUAACCUGAUACUAGAGCAUUUUGAGGAUGCAAUGAGGUUGGUGCAGGGAACUGGGACCACGAGCUUUGAGGAUUUUACUGCUGUAUGCCGAGUUUAUUUCUCUUAUUGGGUGGGGAACGGAAUGACGCUUUAAAACGGCAGUUAAGAUCUUCCCAGAGGGUAGAAGCUAAAUGAGCAGACCUGCGAAUCAACCCUUUGCAUCUUUUACGCAUUGAAAAUUGGCGACAGUAUUUAGCAGUGAGUUUUGUCUCAUUGCUGUAUUGGCAUCAGGAAGGACUGUAAAUAUGAGUUUAUACUAAGACGUAUAAACUUCAGCGUAGUCAUACUUCAGUUGUGUGCGGUAUUACACUUAUUUGUUAUGCUGCACAUUUUAAAAGUUAGCGCAGUAACUAAUGCAUUUGUAAAUGAUUUUAUACCGGCAUAUGCAAGGUUAAAAAGGAACUUGCACCUCCCCGUCCCGCGGGCCGCGUGGAACCCCAGAAUAGUUAAGCUUAACUUCCCUUAACUUUUCUCAUUCAUUUUCAAUGGCAGCGCUUAAUAGUGCGGAUAUAAUAUUCUUUUGGCCACUGGGUGGUUUUUGGCGCUGUUUCGACGCUUCCGAAAACCUUAACUUAGUACCGACGGCACACGACUGGACACUGAUUUCGGAAAUCAGAAUAAUAACUGGGACUAGUAUUACAAUGAAUCUGGUGAUUCACCUAAAAACCCGGCACUGAUGGAACAGAAAGGACAGCUCUCCAAGAUGAAAAAGUUCUUCCCUGGGAAGGUUACGUUGUGCUUCCGAAGAGAAGAUGCGGUGUUGGUUAGCGGAGGAGCCAAAUAAAAACGUUACCUGCUACUUCAAGAGCAGUGCUAAUUGUAAACAUUGUAUUUUUACAUAUCCACUCUGUCCAGUUUAUUAGGAACACUUGUGUGGUUGUGAGACGUCUGUAGUAUCUCCACCUUGCAAAAUAAAGACUCAAUUUCAUUGGC
Long non-coding RNA from Brienomyrus brachyistius, 1295 nucleotides. RefSeq lists it as uncharacterized. The record is from RefSeq and is a predicted model, not a curated record. The transcript is spliced from 2 exons. NCBI's taxonomy places the organism in Eukaryota, Metazoa, Chordata, Actinopteri, Osteoglossiformes, Mormyridae.